GGGAAUGUGGCUUAAUGGUAGAGUUUUUGCCUAAUAUGCAUGAAGCCCUGGGUUCAAUUCCUCAAUACCA
RNAcentral lists this transfer RNA (70 nucleotides) under Dipodomys ordii (Ord's kangaroo rat). It matches the Rfam family "tRNA". From Rfam's summary of the family: Transfer RNA (tRNA) molecules are approximately 80 nucleotides in length. Their secondary structure includes four short double-helical elements and three loops (D, anti-codon, and T loops). Lineage: Eukaryota; Metazoa; Chordata; Mammalia; Rodentia; Heteromyidae. The record is from Rfam by way of RNAcentral.